UACGUAGGGUGCGAGCGUUGUCCGGAAUUAUUGGGCGUAAAGGGCUCGUAGGCGGUUUGUCGCGUCGGGAGUGAAAUCCACUGGCUUAACUGGUGGCUUGCUUUCGAUACGGGCAGACUGGAGGUAUGCAGGGGAGAACGGAAUUCCUGGUGUAGCGGUGAAAUGUGCAGAUAUCAGGAGGAACACCGGUGGCGAAGGCGGUUCUCUGGGCAUGUCCUGACGCUGAGGAGCGAAAGUGUGGGGAGCGAACAGG
This 253-nucleotide ribosomal RNA is filed under the name uncultured bacterium. RNAcentral describes it as "partial 16S ribosomal RNA". It matches the Rfam family "Bacterial small subunit ribosomal RNA", at positions 524 to 776 of the family's 1533-position model. The record is from RNAcentral.